GGACCCGUGGCCUAGCAUGGAUAGGGCACCAGCCUUCUAAGUUGGUAAUCGUGAGUUCAAAUCUCACCGGGUCCGCCA
Molecule: transfer RNA, 78 nt
Filed under: Promethearchaeota archaeon
Lineage: Archaea; Promethearchaeati; Promethearchaeota
Also listed under: 1 other name
Description: Candidatus Lokiarchaeota archaeon (marine sediment metagenome) tRNA-Arg
Rfam family: tRNA
About the family: Transfer RNA (tRNA) molecules are approximately 80 nucleotides in length. Their secondary structure includes four short double-helical elements and three loops (D, anti-codon, and T loops). Further hydrogen bonds mediate the characteristic L-shaped molecular structure. tRNAs have two regions of fundamental functional importance: the anti-codon, which is responsible for specific mRNA codon recognition, and the 3' end, to which the tRNAs corresponding amino acid is attached (by aminoacyl-tRNA synthetases). tRNAs cope with the degeneracy of the genetic code in two manners: having more than one tRNA (with a specific anti-codon) for a particular amino acid; and 'wobble' base-pairing, i.e. permitting non-standard base-pairing at the 3rd anti-codon position.
Source: RNAcentral